Long non-coding RNA from Leptonychotes weddellii (Weddell seal), 385 nucleotides. RefSeq lists it as uncharacterized. Lineage: Eukaryota; Metazoa; Chordata; Mammalia; Carnivora; Phocidae. The record is from RefSeq and is a predicted model, not a curated record.
CGCUCCGGGUAUUGCGGGUUUUGUGUGACAGUGGGUCUACCGGCUGGUGGGAUUCGUGUGUCGCAGGCCUCGCUGGGCCGAGUUCGUGACGUCAUAAAACAUGAAGGUAGCUGAAUCCAGGGCAGAACUAACAUUUGCUCAAGAUUGGGUCCCAAAAAGGUUAUCGAUCAUGACUGUAUUUUCUGUGACACUGAGUCCUUGGUCAGCCCUCAAUUACAACAUUGGCACCAGAGGAGAAAAUGUUCCAUUUUAUGGAAGAUGGGAUUUCUAAGAACACGAUGUGGCGAGAAGCGAGACUGACUAUAAAAUCUAGAAACGUGUAUUUAUGGCUACAAAUUGAUAACAGGAAACAUCUUAGGAAGAAGAAGACUGGCAGAUUGUAGGA